GAUGAACGCUGGCGGCGUGCCUAAUACAUGCAAGUCGAGCGAACGGACGAGAAGCUUGCGUCUCUGAUGUUAGCGGCGGACGGGUGAGUAACACGUGGAUAACCUACCUAUAUGACUGGGAUAACUUCGGAAAACCGGAGCUAAUACCGGAUAAUAUUUUGAACCGCAGGGUUCAAAAGUGAAAGACGGUCUUGCUGUCUCUUAUAGAUGGAUCCGCGCUUCAUUAGCGGGUUGGUAAUGUAACGGCUUACCAAGGGAACGAUGCGUAGCCGAGCUGAGGGGGGGUUGGCGCCACUGGAAAGUGACACACGGCCCAGACACUGAGGGGAGGCACAAGCAGGGACUGUUGCGAAAGGGGGGAAAUCCUGCCGGGCAACGCCGCGUGAGUGAUGAAGGUCUUCGGAUCGUAAAACUCUGUUAUUAGGGAAGAACAUCUGUGUAAGUAAAUGUGGACAUCUUGACGGUACCUAAUCAGAAAGCCACGGCUAACUACGUG
Molecule: ribosomal RNA, 496 nt
Filed under: uncultured bacterium
Lineage: Bacteria
Description: partial 16S ribosomal RNA
Rfam family: Bacterial small subunit ribosomal RNA
Source: RNAcentral